This 571-nucleotide ribosomal RNA is filed under the name Ethminolia vitiliginea. RNAcentral describes it as "partial 16S ribosomal RNA". It matches the Rfam family "Bacterial large subunit ribosomal RNA", at positions 1825 to 2597 of the family's 2925-position model. Lineage: Eukaryota; Metazoa; Mollusca; Gastropoda; Trochida; Trochidae. The record is from RNAcentral.
GUCUCCUUGAAAAAUUUAGUAUAAGGAGUCGAACCUGCCCAGUGACUGUAAUGUUAAACGGCCGCGGUACCCUAACCGUGCAAAGGUAGCAUAAUCAUUUGCCUUUUAAUUGGAGGCUUGUAUGAAUGGUUUGACGAGAGCUAAGCUGUCUCUUUUGAAAUAUAUAGAAAUUAACUUUCAGGUGAAGAGGCCUGAAUAAAGCUGAGUGACAAGAAGACCCUGUUGAGCUUUAGUAUUGCUGGGGUUGACUAGGACAAACUGAAUGAUGUUCAGAAUGUUAUAAAAGUUUAUUAUAAUAAAAUUGUAUAACCCAGUGAAUCUUUAGUUGGGGCGACUGAGGAACAAUAAGAGCUUCCUUGAAAUGUUGUUAUUUUGGUUUUCAAUGAGUUGUGUUGCCAAAUUAUCUGAUCCGGCGUAUGCUGAUUAAGGGAAAAAGUUACCACAGGGAUAACAGCGUAAUCUUUCUGGAGAGAUCUUAUCGAAAGAAGGGUUUGCGACCUCGAUGUUGGACUAAGAUAUCCUAAAGGUGUAGAAGCUUUUGAGGGUUGGUCUGUUCGACCAUUAAAAUCUU